UAUCCUUUUUGUUGCAGUGGUAAAUGUGAGUGUUUUCUUGAUUUCACUUUCAGAUUUCUCAUCAUUAGAGUAUGUAAUGCCAGAGAUUUCUGUGCAUUAAUUUUGUAUCCUGCUACUUUACCAAAUUCAUUGAUUAGCUCUAGUAGUUUUCUGGUAGCAUGUUUAGGAUUCUCUAUGUAUAGUAUCAUGUAAUCUGCAAACAGUGAAAGCUUUACUUCUUCUUUUCCGAUUUGGAUUCCUUUUAUUUCCUUUUCUUCUCUGAUUGCUGUGGCUAAAACUUCCAAAACUGUGUUGAAUAAGAGUGCUGAGAGUGGGCAGCCUUGUCUUGUUCCUGAUAUUAGUGGAAAUGCUUUCAGUUUUUCACCAAUGAGAACAGUGUUGGCUGUGGUUUGUCAUAUAUGGCCUUUAUUAUGUUGAGGAAAGUUCCCUCUAUGCCUACUUUCUGCAGAGUUUUUAUCAUAAAUGGGUGUUGAAUUUUGUCGAAAGCUUUCUCUGCAUCUAUUGAGAUGACCAUAUGGUUUUUCUCCCUCAAUUUGUUAAUAUGGUGUAUCACGUUGAUUGAUUUGCAUAUAUUGAAGAAUCCUUGCAUUCCUGGAAUAAACCCCACUGAUCAUGGUGUAUGAUCCUUUUAAUGUGCUGUUGGAUUCUGUUUGGUAGUAUUUUGUUGAGGAUUUUUGAAUCUAUGUUUAUCAGUGAUAUUGGCCUCUAGUUUUCUUUCUUUGUGACAUCCUUUCCUGGUUUUGGUAUCAGGGUGAUGGUGGCCUCGUAGAAUAAGUUUGGGAGUGUUCCUCCCUCUGCUAUAUUUUGGAAGAGUCUGAGAAGGAUAGAUGUUAGCUCUUCACUAAAUGUUCGAUAGAAUUCACCUGUGAAGCCAUCUGGUCCUGGGCUUUUGUUUGUUGGAAGAUUUUUUUUUUUUUUGCGGUACCCGGGCCUCUCACUGCUGUGGCCUCUCCCGUCAUGGAGCACAGGCUCUGGACGUGCAGGCUCAGCGGCCAUGGCUCAUGGGCCCACGCUCCGCGGCAUGUGGGAUCUUCCCGGACCGGGGCACAAACCCGUGUCCCGUGCAUCGGCAGGCAGACUCUCAACUGCUGCACCAGCAGGGAAGCCCCUGUUGGAAGAUUUUUAAUCACAGUUUCAAUUCCAGUGCUUGUGAUUGGUCUGUUUAUAUUUUCUAUAUCUUCCUGAUUCAGUCUUGGCAGGUUGUGCAUUUCUAAGAAUUUGUUCAUUUCUUCCAGGUUGUCCAUUUUAUUGCCAUAGAGUUGCUUGUAGUAAUCUCUCAUGAUCUUUUGUAUUUCUCCAGUGUCAGUUGUUACUUCUCCGUUUUCAUUUCUAAUUCUAUUGAUCUGAGUCUUUUCCCUUUUUUUCUUGAUGAGUCUGGCUAAUGGUUUAUUAAUUUUGUUUAUCUUCUCAAAGAACAGCUUUUAGUUUUAUUGAUCUUGGCUAUUGUUUCCUUCAUUUAUUUUUCAUUUAUUUCUCAUAUGAUUUUUACGAUUUCUUUCCUUCUGCUAACUUUGUUUUUUUUUUGUUGUUGUUCUUCUUUCUCUAAUUGCUUUAGGUGCAAGCUUAUGUUGUUUAUUCGAGAUGUUUCCUGUUUCUUAAGGUAGGAUUGUAUCGCUAUAAACUUCCCUCUUAGAACUGCUUUUGCUGCAUCCCAUAGGUUUUGGGUUGUCGUGUCUCCAUUGUCAUUUGUUUCUAGGUAUUUUUUGAUUUCCUCUUUGAGUUCUUCAGUGAUCACUUCGUUAUUAAGUAGUGUAUUGUUUAGCUUCCAUGUGUUUGUAUUUUUUACAGAUCCUUUUCUGUAAUAUAUAGCCUCAUAGCAUUGUGGUUGGAAAAGAUACCUGAUACAAUUUCAGUUUUCUUAAAUUUACCAAGGCUUGAUUUGUGACCCAAGAUAUGAUCUGUCCUGGAGAAUGAUCCAUGAGCACUUGAGAAAAAUGUGUAUUCUGUUCUUUUUGGAUGGAAUGUCGUAUAAAUUAAGUGCAUCUUUUUUAAUGUAUCAUUUAAAGCUUGUGUUUCCUUAUUUAUUUUCAUUUUGGAUGAUCUGUCCAUUGGUGAAAGUAGGCUUGUUAAAGUCCCCUACUAUGAAUGUGUUACUCUUGAUUUCCCUUUUUUUUUUACUUUAUUAUUAUUAUUUUUGGUUUCCCCUUUUAUGGCUGUUACUAUUUGCCUUAUGUAUUGAGGUGCUGCUAUGUUGGGUGCAUAAAUAUUUACAAUUGUUAUAUUUUCUUCUUGGAUCGAUCCCUUGAUCAUUAUAUAGUGUCCUUCUUUGUCUCUUCUAAUAGUCUUUAUUUUAAUGUCUAUUUUGUGUGAUAUGAGAAUUGCUACUCCAGCUUUCCUUUGGUUUCCAUUUGCAUGGAAUAUCUUUUUUCCAUCCCCUCACUUUCAGUCUGUAUGUGUCUCGAGGUCUGAAGUGGGUCUCUCGUAGACAGUAUAUAUAUGGGUCUUGUUUUUAUGUCCAUUCUAUAUAUCUAUAUAGCUAGUCUGUGUCUUUUGGUGGGAGCAUUUAAUCCAUUUACAUUUAAGGUAAUUAUCGAUAUGUAUGUUCCUCUUCCCAUUUUCUUAAUUGUUUAUUAAUUGUUAUUAUAGUUGAUUUCCUACUCUUGUGUUUCUUGCCUAGAGAAGAUCCUUUAACAUUUGUUGUAAAGCUGGUUUGGUGGUGCUGAACUCUCUUAGCUUUUGCUUGUCUGUAAAGGUCCAUGCUUUUAGCCGUGGCUCGCACCCCUCUCUGGGGUCUGCGUUUUUAGCCGCAGCUCGCGCUCGUCUCUGGGGUCCGCGUUUUUAGCCGCGGCUCGCGCCCAUCUCUGGAGUACCUUUAAGCAGCGCUCUUAAACCCCUCUCCUCGCGCACCAGGAAACAAAUAGGGAAGAAAAAGUCUCUUGCGUCUUCGGCAGCUCCAGACUUUUUCCCAGACUCCCUCCCUGCUAGCCGUGGUGCGCUAACCCCUUCAGGCUGUGUUCACGCCACCAAUCCUCUCCCUGCGCUCCCACCGAAGCCCGACCCUCAGCUCCCAGCCCCGCCCGCCCCGGCUGGUGAGCAGACAAGGCUGGUGAGUGCUGGUCGUCACCGAUCUUAUUUGCGGAAAUCUCUCUGCUUUGACCUCUACACCCCUGUUGCUGUGGUCUCCUCCGUGGCCCCGAAGCUCCCCCCCCCGCCACCUGCAGCCUCUGCCCGCGAAGGGCCUUCUAGUGUGUGGAAACCUUUCCUCCUUCACGGCUCCCUCCCACUGGUGCAGGUCCCGUCCCUGUUCGUUUGUCUCUGUUUAAUCUUUUUUCUUUUGCCCUACCCAGGUACAUGGGGAGUUUCUUGACUUUUGGGAGGUCUGAGGUCUUCUGCUAGCAUUCAGUAGGUGUUUUUUGGGUGUUCCACGUGUAAAUGUAUUUCUGAUGUAUCUCGACCUUUUUUCCAGCCUUCUCUUUGGAUUCAUGGUGCAUGUGUCUCUAUUCAUUUCUGGAGGCUUAAAGUCCAAGAUCCAGGUGUGGGCAGGACUAGUUUCAUUCUGAGGCCCCUCUCCUUGGCUUGCAGAUGGCUGCCUUCCCCCUGUGUCCUCAUAUGAUCAUCCCUCUGUGUCAGCUCUGUUCUUCUUCUCCAGAUUGUUUCAGCUAUUUGGGCUUGUUUGUUUUUCCGUACAAAUCUUAAAAUUAUUCUAGUUUUGUGAAAAAUGCCAUUGGUAGUUUGAUAGGGAUUGCAUUGUAUCUGCUGAUUGUGUUGGGUAUUAUGGUUAUUUUAACAAUAUUAAUUCUUCCAAUCCAAGAAUAAAGUAUAACUUUCCAUCUUUUACAGUAUGCAGGUAAAGCUCUUUCAGGGAACAAUUGGGAGAUGGGUAAUUUUGCUUUCUCCUUCUCACUGAGCCUAGGGGAUAGCCAGCUAGGAAUUGCUCCUUUGUUUUCUAUGGUCCUGUGGAACUUGUGAAUGGAACCCCCUUUAACUAUAAGACUGAUGGUCUGCUGACCCAUUUCUCGGGCAGAAGCUAUGAAAUCUUGGGUGUAGGCAUGUGUACAAGGCCAUUCCAGGGAGAUACUAGGAAAUUAGAGCCAUCUGGAGUGGGGAGGAGUGGUGUCCACUUCCCCAUUCUCUGGGGAGGAUCACAGCCAGCCCCUAGUGCCUGCUAAGUUAGAAGACUGGCCUUUAGGCGGCAGCUUUUUAAGUAUGCAGAUACUCUUUCAGGGGAAAACUGUGAGGUGUACAAUUUUGCCUGUUCCCUCUAUGCUGAUUGCUGGAAUGAUAGCCUUGGUGAGUGCUUACGUGCUUAUUAAGAAUUGUUUCUUUUUUUGCUAUACUGUUGUAAGUCUUGUGGAUACAAGCUCCAUUGGUUUUUAGAGCAAGGGAUUUUGUGAGCUUGUCCCUCUAGUGGGUCUUAGCAGUUGGUGUGCUAGAUAUGGAGUCCAAGCCCUUUGGUUUUCAGGGAGAAGCUAGAAGUUGAGACUUCUCUCCUGAUUGUAAGGCACUGUGCUGUGGGUGGAGUUGAUGCCAAGAGUGUGGAAAGAACAGCCUUUCCUACCUGUUUUGAUGUGCGUAUUUUCUCAUUUGUCCUACUUGUAGGAGUUGUUCAGCUAGUUUCUGGGUCCCUUUCAGAGUAAAUUGCUCCACGUGUAGCUGUACAUUUGGUAUGUCUGUAUGAGGAGGGGAGCUCCUUCGUCACCAUCUUGUUGACUCCCAAUUCCUAAAGUUUUGUAUCUUGCUUUUCAGUCAAAAUAUUUCCCUUUGCUCUAAUACUGUUUUUUGAAACUUGAAGUACUUUCUUUAAUAAGAAUUUAAUCUUCCAAAUUUUCUUAGAUUUGGGUAGGAUGCCCCAUGUUAAUGAGAGUAAAAAUAUUUUUUCCUGUCAAAACUUCCUGAGGUGUGGGAACAAUAUUCUAGGGUUGCAUUUCAAUCUUGUGCUGACUUACUCUUGCAAGUAAGGAUUGCUUAACUCUAAAACUGAACUAAGUUAAGAUCAUACAAUUAUGAAAAAUCAGAGAAACUUUUAUUAGCUACACAAAUUUCGUUAGCUAUACAAAUAUAUGUCCUUCAUUGUUUCCUUUUAUUCUUCAAAGAUAUUUUAUGGUAUGGAUUUCUAAUUUUCAUUAUGAUCAGUGAAUAUAUUCUAUGUUAUUUGAGAGAUUUUUAAAGAUUUUGGCCUGGUAUAUGGUUUAUCUUGGUGAAUAUGCCAUAGACACUUAAAAUGUGCAUUCAUUCUAAAGUUGUUGGCUAUAGUGUUUUAUAAAUGCCCAUUAGGUUUAAAUGGUUAAUAUAUAUUGUUCAUAUCUUCUAUGAUUGAUAUUGUGUUUUGGUCUAUAAAUUACUGAAAAAGUAGAGUUUAAAGUCACCAACUAUGAUUGUGGAUUUGUCUGUUACUCCCCUUAUUUCUGUCAGUUUCAUUUCAUGUAAUCUGAAACUUUGUUAUUAGUCAUAUAAAUUUUUAUGAUGAUUAUGUCUCCCGUAUAAAUUGACCCUCUUAUAUUAUGAAAUGUCUCUAUCUCUGGUAAUACAUUAACUUGAAGUUUACUGUAUCAGAAAUUAAUAUAACUACUCUAGGUUUCAUAUGCUUUCUGUUAGUAUGGUGUAUCUUUUCAUCUUUUCUUCCUUUUAACCUAUAUCUUUAUGUAUAAAAUAUUGUCAUUAGAUGGCAUAUAGUUGGGUUAUGUUUAACUGUUAACAGUUGGAGUGUUUAUUCAAUGUUCACCUAAUAUAAUUAUUGAAAAAGCGGAUUUAAGUCCACCUCUUUUAUUGUUUUUUUCUUUGUAAGUGUGUACUCCUUAUCAGUGUCUAUCUUCUGUUUUUUGUUCUUCCCUUCUUCUCUGUCUUGCUUUUGAUUGUUUCAUUUUUUUUUUCCAGAAUUCCAUUUUCCUUUACUUUUUUUUUUUUUUUUGCAGUACGCGGGCCUCUCACCGCUGUGGCCUCUCCCGUUGUGGAGCACAGGCUCUGGACGCGCAGGCUCAGUGGCCAUGGUUCAUGGGCCCAGCCGCUCUGCGGCAUGUGGGAUCUUCCCGGACAGGGGCACGAACCCGUGUCCCUUGCAUCAGCAGGCGCACUCUCAACCACUGCGCCACCAGGGAAGCCCUCCUUUAAUUUUUUAACUCUACCUUUUUGUAGUUUUUUAGUGGUUUUCUAGUGAUUGCAAUAUGCAUGUUUAGUUAUUUCACUCUUUAAGACCAUUAAAUCACUUCACAUAAACAGAAGAAUCUUGGAAACAUACAUACCUAUUUACUUAGUCUCUGCCCCCUGUUAUGCUAGAGGUGUCAUAUAUAUUAUAUCUAUAUCUACUCUAAACCAUAUAGCCAAUGGAAUAAUUGUUUUAAAUAGGUAUAUUUAUUUUUAAGAAUUUAAGAGGGAAAAUAUUUCAUAAUUACCCACAUAUUAACCAGUUUUAAAGCUUUUCAUUCUAUUCGGAAGACCCAUGUUUCCUUCUGUUAUCAUUAUUUAUCUUCCCAAAGAGGUUUCUUUAGCACCAGUUGUACUGGUGAUAAUUUUUCUUCGUUUUCUUUUAUCUGACAGUGUCUUUUUUUUAGUCCUCUUUAUUGAGGAAUAUAGUUACUGAAUAUAGAAUUAUUAACAUUUUCCCCUAGUACUUUAAAGAUAAUAUUCCAUGGUUUUCUCUGCUUCAUUGAAAUAAAAUCCAUUUUAUUAGUUGGUAUAGAAAAUAGUUGAAGCAAAAGUUUAGGCUAGCAAAGCAGGAUGUGAUAGAUACUUUGUUAUGAAGAGUUCUUAACUAAACAGUUUGUUUUUAUGUGUUGCUCUCUGUGUCUCUUGACAGUUUUGAAAAAUGAGCUCCCUUUGACAGGGAGUUGGUUUUAUUUAUAUUCUUGUCUUACCCAGAAAGUCAUACAGAAAAUAAUCAUUCCACACUUUUAAAUGGCUAGUUUUGCUUUCGUGGUAUUUACAAUAAAAUAAUAAGUUAGUUAGAGAGUAAAUGGAUGACUCUAAGAGAAAAAGCAAGGUAAAAAGAUUGGAGUGAAUUGAUGUUAGAAAUAUUUCAUUUAAUUAAUUGAUAAUAUUACCAUUUGGUCAAGGCAUAGAAAUACGGAAUAGUUUGUGAAUUGUGCUGUGAUGUAAACAUUUGGUAUGAGUUCUCUUAAAACAGAAUUGAUCCAUCUCUUGAAAUAACUCUCUUUAUUGAAGAUAAGUGGGACAUGGGUACGUCACAACCUCUGAAUUUAGGGAGGAUGAAAUUAACCUUUGAAUUGUAUGUUUUUGAUUUGAAUGGCAUAUUUUUUUGCUUUCACAUGAUUCCCACAUGUGAACUUCCAUGACAAUCAUACAGGAAAGAGGAAGCUGUUGUAGUUUUUGCAAUGUACAUUGUCACCAAAACAUACUACCAUCCUUGAUCUUACGAGAAAUUUAGAAAUAAUAUUCCAAUAGACAUAUAAGAUAAAUAAGUUUCUGUGGAAGCAGAAGUGCUCAGUUUUGAGAAGCACUUUGGUGUUGUAAUGUCUUAUGUUAAUGAUUCUCAAAUUCUGCGCCAUUCUACUUUAUCAUCUAUCUGUCUGUCUAUCACUUUAUCUUCUGUAUUUAUCUGUAUAUCUCUGCCUAUCAUCUGCCUAUUAACUUAAUAGAUAAGUUAUCAUUCAAGUUCAGUCACCCAUCUUAUAAACGAUCUUUUGUGUAUCAUCAAUUUAUCUAUCUCUCCAUCCAUGCCUUUAUUAGGUAUAAUAGGCAGAAGAGCAUGGCAAUAGAAAAACAAGGGGUUUACCUCCCAUGUGAAAGGACAGUGAUAACAGUGGUCUCUGAAGUGAUGAUGUAUAAGGAGAAAACAAGAAGAGAACAUGAGGACUGAGGACCAGUAACUCAGGGACCCAUCUAGCAGGAACUCUGGACUUACUACUAUGCUCACAUUUGAAAAAUCAAAAUAGAGUUGCCUAUAUUCUGUGUCAGCUUACGUGAGAAAAUUUCAUCUAAAUAUGAUAGCUCUGCCUUUUCAGUCCACCUAUGCUUCCAUAUUUUAAAACUCAGUUUUAAUUACAUGGAGCUAUCACCUCAGUUUACUUUAAACUAGACCAUGGAUUGGUAAACCUUUUCUGUAAAAGGCCAAAUAACAAAUGAUUUCAGCUUUUUAGGAUUUAUGAACUCUGUUACAGCUAAUCUACUCUUCUAUUGUAGUGUGAAAGCAGCUAAACACAAUGUGCCAUUGAAUGAGUGUGGCUGUGUUCCAGUAAUACUUUAUUUACAACAGCAGGCUGUGGGCUUGAGUACCAUAUGCUGAACUAGAGCAUUGGUUAAAUCAGAACCUGGAAAAUAAUCGGAUGAACCCCACUACAUGGUAAAAAGAUCUGAAAAUUAUUUCCCUAUUUUAUUUUCAUGAAAAUUAUUUUAGUUCCUCUGCUAAAUCUCACUCAUAAGAGAGUGCUAUAAAUGAAUACUACAUGCCAUCAUAACCUAAACAAUGUAAAACUGUAUAAGUGACUGGAAUGAUAUGAACCCCUUUCCAGUUGUAACCAAUAAAUUAUAUUUUUAAGUUGAGCAUAUUUCUCCCACAUUCCAUUUAUAAAGUCCGCAAGGAUUGUGUCCAAAAUCUUGCCUGCCUUCUUUUCCCCUUCAGCACGUUUCAAGUCAAAAUGUUAUCUAUCAGUUUUCUUGGUGGUAUCCAGUCUCCUUAGGCAUUGACUUCAGUCUAUUUUGACAUCAUUUGAACAGUUUUUGUAAUUGUUUCAACAUCUCAGAAUAGGAUUUGUAUCUUCCAAGGCUGUUAUGUGACCUAGUUUGUAAAAAUGUGGAAGAUUCAACAGUAUAAAUAGCUAAUGGAUACAAUCUUUAAUCCAGUUAAACUGUGUUUUCCAAGUUUUCUUCAUGUUAUCUGUAUUGGAGGGUUUAGAGGAGAGAAAAAGUAUCUAAAAUGCACUAACUUAAAAUUAAAUUGGGCUAUUGCUUAUUCUGCAGUCAACUGAAAAUGUACCUGUAUAUUUACAUAUAUGACCAGUUUAGUGUUAAUAUUCUAUGAAAGGCUCACCCAAAUCAAUUAGAAAAAGACAAACAUUCCAGUACAAAAGUGGGAAAACACAUAAAUGAGCAGUUCAUAAAAGGUAAGUAUUGUGAAUGGCCAAGAACACAUAAAAAUAUACUCAACCAUAUCUAUCUUUAUAAUGAAAUAUUAAAUAUAUAUUAAAUAAUUAUCAAUCAUUAUACAUAUAUAAUGAAAUAAAUAUAUGGGUGUUUAAACACAGACAGAAACACACAUAAUUUAUAAUAAUAAAAUAAAUCAACAGUUACUUUUUCACCUAUUAGAUUAACAGGCACAUUUGUUAACAAAGUCUGGAGAAUUUGGGACUCCUUGUGUGUUACAGUCUUUCCAAUUGACAGUGGAAAAAUAUGUAUUAGAUGGAAAUUAGCACAUUUUGACUAACAAUUUUAUUUUUAGAAAUUUACCUAUAAGAUAUAAUAGGGAGUGUUCAAAUGUGUAUAUAAACUCAAGGGUACUCGUGACAGCCUAAGUUAUACUUGUAAAAUGAUAAGUAAUCUGUUUAUCAAGUCAUAAUGCUAGGUAAAUUAAUGAUGAUUCAUUUAUCUAAUUGAAUUGUAUUUAGUUAUAUAUGGUAAUGUAUACUGAAAUUAAUUGAUAAGAACAUUCAGGUUUUUCAGAAGUUCAUUUGUCCAUAAGUUACUGAAUAUCAACUAUGUUUGAGGCAUUAAUACUGUAUUUCACUCACAUAAAAUGAUAUAUAUAUGUGAUUGUUUGGAUAUGGUCAAUAAACCAAUUUUACAGGAAGAAUGUUCAAAAACUGUUGAUGGUGAGUUUGGGUCAUUAUUUUACUAUUAUCUCUGUGUGUGUGUGUGUGUGUGUGUGUGUGGUGUAGUUUCAAAUCUAUAUAUUUCAAUUAUAUAUACCAAUUAUUGAAUUCUUAGUAUGUGUACUACCACAUGCUGAGAUAAAUACUUUUUCAUGGAUUAUCUCAUUUAAUGCUAAUAAUAACCAUAAUAACAGAUUAAGAUAUUCAUUCCUUUUUAUAAGAUAAGAAGAUAGAGACUGAGUUUGAAACUAAAUUUGAUUGUACAAGUCAUUCUGUUACUCACAACUUAAAAAAACCCACACAGUGUCACAGCCUUUGGUAGAUGAUAAUUAAAAAUAGUUAUAUUUUGCUAAAUCUUCCCAUGUUUGGGGAAAAGACGCACAUUUCUGAGGUCAUAUUUGUUUUCUCUGUGUUGUUAAGGUCAGAGCCAUGAGAAUUCUCAAGUUUAGUUCUUUAGGCUAAAAAGUAUGUGUUGAGAUAUUGUCAGAACAGGAGAAAAAGAUGAAUAGGACAUUGGUUUGUGGAAAAUUACGUGGUAUAAAUCUACACAGAAUGACCUCUAAAAAUAUGGGGCACCAGUGCUUAGGUGGUGGGACAGUGUUCUUCAGCAGAAACCAUUUCAUAGCUAGAGAAUGGGGCACAGAUCAAAGUCCAAAGAGAAAUGGCCAGUAAGUGGAGUAUCAGUAAAUGGAAGAAAUCAACUUUGGAUCAGACUUGGUGAUAGGCAAUACCAAGACAAAUACUGUAGAUAGCAGGGAAAGGACCAAUGAAGAUCUUUAGAUAGCAGGGAAAAGACCAACGAAGAUCUUGGAGUGAAGAAAUAAUCCCCAACCGAUAUAGAUUCAAAUGCCAUAAUCUCCUAUUGGAAUAUUUUUCAAAUUGUACUUUAUGACCAUAUGGUCUGGAUUAUAAACUAUCUACUUCAUAUGAAUAUGUGUUCCAUAAUCAAUUCAAUUUUCUCCAGUUAUCUGUAUUCAUUCUAACACUUUUCUAAAGACAACACUGUGUCUUACAAGUAUGGUUUAUUAGUAAUUCUCAUCUGGUAGCUAAAAUGUUGGCCAGAAUGAUAAGCAGAGUGAAUUGUGACAUAAGUUUUGCCUGACUGUGCCAUAGCAGUGGCUAAGGUAUGUUUAAAAAUUUGGGUGGUUUAUAGCAAGGUAUGUGCUAUACUAUUCUAACUUUGCCUUUUUAUCUUCUGGUAUCUUGAGGGGAAAUGGACCUACAUAAGAUAUGCACAGUUGGGGCUCUGUAACGUUGAGAAUACUGAAGGAGGAAGAUAAGUACAGAAGGAAAAACCAGUCAUAUAUGGGUAAAAGGCUAGAAAGUUAUCAUACUUCAAGGAAGAAAGAAGGGCUGAAAUGAGGGCCUCCACUUCAGAGAAUAGGGUACGCGGGCCUCUCACUGUUGUGGCCUCUCCCAUUGCGGAGCACAGGCUCCGGACGCGCAGGCUCAGCGGCCAUGGCUCAUGGAACCAGCCGCUCCGCGGCAUGUGGGAUCUUCCCAGACCGGGGCUGAACCCGUGUCCCCUGCAUCGGCAGGCGGACUCUCAACCACUGCGCCACCAGGAAAGCCCUCUUUCUUCAUUUUUUUUUUAACAUCUUUAUUGGGGUAUAAUUGCUUUACAAUGGUGUGUUAGUUUCUGCUUUAUAACAAAGUGAAUCAGUUAUACAUAUACAUAUGUUCCCAUAUCUCUUCCCUCUUGCUUCUCCCUCCCUCCCACCCUCUCUCUUUCUUCAUUUUUUAAUGUAAGUUUUAACAGCUAUAAAAUUUUCCCCUCAAGUACUGCUUUUGGCAUCUCGUAAGUUUUGGAAUGUUGUAUGAUAAUUUUUAUUGAUCUCAAAUAAUUUAAUAAUUUACCUUGAGAAUGAGAGAAUCUUAUUUGAUUCAUUGUUUAUUAGGAAUGUGUUUCUUAAUCUCCACUUGUGUAUGAUGAGUCUUCUAAAAUUCCUUCUGUUACCGAUUUCUAAUUUAAUUCCAUUGUGGUCAGUGAACAUACUUUGUAUGAUUUCAAUGUUUUAAAAUUUAUUUAAACUUAUUUUGGGUGUUAUUUCUGGUCUAUUCUGAAGAAUGUUCCUUAUGCACUUGAGAAAAAUGUGUAAUCUUCUGCUUUUAGGUGGAGUGUUCUGCGUAAGUCUGUUAGGUGUAGUUGAUUUAUGGUGUUGUUCAAGUGCUCUAUUUCCAGAAUGAUCUUCUUUCUAAUUUUUCUAUUGGUUAUUAAAAGUAGGACAUUGAAGUAUCCACGUAUUGUAGAGAUGUCUGUUUCUCUCUUCAAUUCUGUGCAAUUUUGCUUCAGAUAUUUUGGGACUCUGUUGGUAGGUGUGUAAAUGUUUAUGAUUGUCAUAUCUUCUUAAUUGAUUGACUCUUUUAUCAAUGUUUAAUUGACCCAUGAAACAAUUUUUGUUUGAAAACAAAUUUUGUCUGAUAUUAGUAUAGUCACUCUAGCUCUAUUUUGGUUACAACUUAUAUGAAAUAUUUAUUUCAUGAUCUAAUUUUCAACCAGUUUGUCUCUUUGAAUGUAAAGUGUGUCUCUGGCAGAUAACAUACAGUUGGAUCAUGUUUUUAAAUCCAUUUUGCCAAUCUCUGCCUUUCACUUAUACAUUUUAUACCAUUUCUGUUUAAUGUCAUUACUGAUAAAGGAGGACUACUGCCAUUUUGCUGUUCAUUGUUUUCUGUGUCUUACAUGUUUUUUGGUCUUCAUUAUUGCUUUUUUUGUGUUAAGUAGAUAUUGUUGAGUGCACCAUUUAAACUUCUUUAUUUCCUUGUUGUUUUUACUAUAUAUAUUUUAAGUUAUUUUCUUAGUGGUUGCCCUAGGGGUGACAAUUAACUUCUUAAUUUAUAACAAUCUAGUUCUAAUUAAUACCAAUUUAAUUUCAAUAGUAUAUAAAAUCUUUGCUUCCAUAUUGCUCCAUUUCCCCUGUGUGUUGUCAUUGUCACAAAUUAUGUCUCUAUACUUAUGUACUCAUCACCACAGACUGAUAAUUUUUGUUUUAUGCAGUUAUUCAAGCAUAUGAUAGGAAAAGAGAGGAGUUACAAAAAACAUAUUAAUAUUGGCUUUUAUAUUCGCUUGUGAAGUUACCUUUACUGAUAUUAUUUAUUGCUUGAUGUGGAUUCAAGUUACUGUAUAUGGUCCAUUCAUUUCAGCUUGACCCCCUUUGACAUUUGUUGUAGGGCAAGGCUGCUGUCAAAGAACAUUCUCAGUGUUUGUUGUCUGAGAAUGUCUUAAUUUCUCCUUCAUUUUUGUAAGGCAUUAUUGUCAGAUCAAGAAUUCCUAGUUGAAUGUCUUUUCAUUGCAUAACUUUGAAACUAUCAUCCUACUGCCUUCUUACCCCAUGUUGUAUGAUGAAAAAUCACUUGUUAUUUUAUUGAAGAUCACUUCUAUCUGAUGAGUCCCUUCUUUAUUGCUGCUUUCAAGGUUCUCUCUUUGACUUUCUAUUUGAACAGUUUCAUAAUGAUGUGUUUCAGUAUGAAUCUGUUUGAAUUUAUCCUACAUGGAGUUCAUUAGACUGCUUGUAUAGGUAGUUUAUCACUUUUCAUCAACUUUGGGCAGUUUUGUCCAUUAUUACUUGAAAUAUAGUUUCUGUUCCUUUCUUUCUUCUUUCGUGACUCUCAUUAUGCAUAUGUUGGUACACUGGAUGGUAGCCUCAUAGGACUUUUAGGCUAUGUCCAUUAAAAAAUAAAUUUUCUCUUCCUAUAAUUGGAUAAUUUAAAUUGACUUACCUUUAAGUUAGUUUUAUUUUUUCAGCUCAAGUUGUUGUGGGGCCCUUUCUGUGAGUUUUUCAACACUUGCUAUUGUGCUUUUCAGCUCCAGAAUGUCUACUUGAUUUGUUUGAAAACUUUCUGUCUCUUUAUUGAUACACCUAUUUCAUGAGACAGUGCUUGUGGGGUUCAUCUAGUUCUUAAAUAUGUUUUCCAUUAGCUCUUUCAACACAUUUAAAGUAACUGAUUUAAAAUAUUUGUCUUUGAGUCCAAUGUCUUGGCUUUUCAGGGAGAGUUUCUAUUACUUGUUCUUAUAUUUUUUUCUCUGUGUGUGGGACAUACUUCAUAGUUUCCUUGAAUGCCCAUUACUUUUAUGUUGAAAAUUGGACAUUAUGAAUAUCAUAAUGCGGCAACUCUGGAAAUCAGAUGUGCCUUCCCUGUUUGUCUGUUGUUGCUUUUUGUUGUUGAAGUUGUUUGUGGUAUGUGUUCACUGAAGACUGCUUCAUUAGAUUUGUGGUCAGCUAAAAAUUGGACAAAGAUUUCCUUAGAAAUCCUGAAGACAAAAAAUUUCCCUGCGUUUCAGAAGUCUCUCUGUGUAUGUUAGUAUAUGCCUUUAACACUUAGCCAGGCAUUUUAAGCUUUCCCUUAGCCUCAAUUUUUGCUUGUUAAGAGCCUCAAGUUCACUCACAGAGGAGACCUUAGGCCUUCUCAAGUUUUCCCUGAAUAGGCACAUAACUCUACAUCUGUGCUGCCCUUAUAGAUUAUGAGGAACACAUGGAAUCACCUGAUAGCCAUUACUUCAAAAACACAAAAAAUUCAUUCCUGAACUUUCCUCAUAAGGUAUUGGUUUAAUUUAUUUUCUGUUACAACUGUAAUCCGUUGCAUUAGGCAGCAGCGACAAACAAUGCAAAUUACCACCAAUCUAGCUGCUAGCAUUGAGUGACUUCUGAAUUAGGAGAAAGAAAAGCGAGUCUUUGAACCAGUGUUUUAGGGAGCCAACAUAAAUCAUAAAUUAAAAGAAAUUACAAUUCUUUGGAUAUGAGGUCAGUCCGACUCUUUCCACUACAAGAACCAGGAAUGUGGAGUGUUAUUCUCAAUAAUAUCACUGAGUUGGGGAAUAAGACAUGAGAUUAGAGUCAGUUAAACAGCCCAAAGUUUCUGGAUUUUAGAAAUUGAACUAUGUUUCUUGAUUAAGAGAUUGCCUAGUGACAGCUAUUACUUGGUGAAUUUGCAGAUUUCCAAAAAAGUUGAUAGUGCAAGCAUUUACCACUUUUUCGUUACUGUUUAUGAAGGGACAGGUGUUGGAGUUCCUCAUGUGUCAGAUUUGGUGCUGUCAUUCUCAUUUCACUUUUGAUUUUACCAGUCACUAAUGAAGUUCAUCAUAUCUUGAAGGAUUAUAAUCACUUGUAUAUCUUCACUUGAGAAGUGUCUAUUAAAAUAAUUUUAACAAUUUUAA
Globicephala melas (long-finned pilot whale) is the source of this 14853-nucleotide non-coding RNA. The record is from RefSeq and is a predicted model, not a curated record. Lineage: Eukaryota; Metazoa; Chordata; Mammalia; Artiodactyla; Delphinidae.